UACGUAGGUGGCAAGCGUUAUCCGGAUUUAUUGGGCGUAAAGGGAACGCAGGCGGUCUUUUAAGUCUGAUGUGAAAGCCUUCGGCUUAACCGGAGUAGUGCAUUGGAAACUGGGAGACUUGAGUGCAGAAGAGGAGAGUGGAACUCCAUGUGUAGCGGUGAAAUGCGUAGAUAUAUGGAAGAACACCAGUGGCGAAAGCGGCUCUCUGGUCUGUAACUGACGCUGAGGUUCGAAAGCGUGUGUAGCAAACAGG
RNAcentral lists this ribosomal RNA (253 nucleotides) under uncultured bacterium. Its description in RNAcentral is "partial 16S ribosomal RNA". It matches the Rfam family "Bacterial small subunit ribosomal RNA", at positions 524 to 776 of the family's 1533-position model. The record is from RNAcentral.